AAGAUCAUACUUCACAGGAUCAUUUCUGUAGUAUAUCUUGACUUGUUUCCCACCAGAAACUUGUCUCCUUUCCACCCACGAUGACGAGUAACGACGCUGGCUUCUGAGCGUGAAGCAGGUCGGGAGUGUAACUACUUCGGUAGUAUCUACUCUCGGCCAUUGAGGACCGUUUCCGGUAUCUCCUAGUGGGAAACUGGAAGGAAAUCAGCGUGUUCAGAGUGGU
This is a non-coding RNA of Daphnia pulex (common water flea), 223 nucleotides long. The record is from Rfam. NCBI's taxonomy places the organism in Eukaryota, Metazoa, Arthropoda, Branchiopoda, Diplostraca, Daphniidae.